GAUGAACGCUGGCGGCGUGCUUAACACAUGCAAGUCGAACGGAAAGGCCCAAGCUUGCUUGGGUACUCGAGUGGCGAACGGGUGAGUAACACGUGGGUGAUCUGCCCUGCACUUCGGGAUAAGCCUGGGAAACUGGGUCUAAUACCGGAUAGGACCACGUCUUGGAUGUUGUGGUGGAAAGUUUUUUCGGUGUGGGAUGAGCUCGCGGCCUAUCAGCUUGUUGGUGGGGUAAUGGCCUACCAAGGCGGCGACGGGUAGCCGGCCUGAGAGGGUGUACGGCCACAUUGGGACGGAGAUACGGCCCAGACUCCUACGGGAGGCAGCAGUGGGGAAUAUUGCACAAUGGGCGCAAGCCUGAUGCAGCGACGCCGCGUGGGGGAUGACGGCCUUCGGGUUGUAAACUCCUUUCGCUAGGGACGAAGCGUUUUUGUGACGGUACCUGGAGAAGAAGCACCGGCUAACUACGUG
RNAcentral lists this ribosomal RNA (468 nucleotides) under uncultured bacterium. Its description in RNAcentral is "partial 16S ribosomal RNA". It matches the Rfam family "Bacterial small subunit ribosomal RNA", at positions 28 to 507 of the family's 1533-position model. The record is from RNAcentral.